AAAAAAUAAGUUGGUUGCAAGAUCUUAGAGAUAAUGUCAAACAUUAUCUAUAUGGUAUCCUAUUUCAAAUCAAAUUUGAACAUACCAUUGAGAACUUGAUCCUACCUAAAUUUGGACAUGAUAUAGAGAUGAGAAAGAACUCUUUGAUGUUAAAAAAUCUCACACAAAAACUAUUUUAGCAUGGAGAAAGAUGGCAUCAAAGUGGGAGGC
This 210-nucleotide long non-coding RNA is filed under the name Elaeis guineensis (African oil palm). RNAcentral's name for it is "long non-coding RNA (EGUI_LNC038573)". The record is from RNAcentral. Lineage: Eukaryota; Viridiplantae; Streptophyta; Magnoliopsida; Arecales; Arecaceae.